Anthonomus grandis grandis is the source of this 2781-nucleotide long non-coding RNA. RefSeq lists it as uncharacterized. The transcript has 3 exons. NCBI's taxonomy places the organism in Eukaryota, Metazoa, Arthropoda, Insecta, Coleoptera, Curculionidae. The record is from RefSeq and is a predicted model, not a curated record.
AUUCCGAAUUCAGUGUAUUAUGGUGAUAAUGAAUUUUCUGGUUGCGAACAGAUAGCGGAGGGUUUUGCCCCAGUUUUUUUCACCUGUCUACAAUACUAAUAUAAAUAAAAAUAACAAUUAUUAUAUGGGGGUCAACAGAAAUCCCUUGGCUCAGCACUCUUUCCGUCAUUAUGAAAGCUUAGUUUUGUGGUACCAAUAUUUAAAUCAGAUGAUAAUGACCAAAUAGGCAACUAUAGGGGCGUUUGCAUCCAGUCGGCCAUUCCAAAACUGUUGGACAGUCUUACCUACGACCAAAUUUUUUGUUGCUCAAUCAGCAGCAUGGGUUUAGUUCGGGCAGAUCACUAACUUGUUGAUCUAUCAGCAGGAUCUGUUGGAUGCCUUGGAGAGGGGAUGUCCGAUGGAUGUGAUUUAUACAGACUUCUCCAAGGCUUUUGAUAGAGUCGAUCACAGAAUCUUGCAGGAGAAACUUAGAGUGUUUGGUUUCUCCAAUCAUAUCAUGUGUCCCAAGGCAUGUAUGAUUUGGGGUGGUUAAAAAUACCUUAUCUAUAUAAGUUUUUGUACUGCACCUUAGUAUAUCGCCUUUAUAAGUCCAAAGCUCCGAUAUAUUUAUUUGAGAAAUUUAUACCUAGAAAUCAUGUACAUGCUCGAAAUAUUAGGCAUAACACUUUGACUAUGCCACAUCACUCAAUGGCUCUCUUUGAACGAUCAUUCACUUACAACGCAGUCAAAUUUGUGAAUGUCUUUAGGCCUGAUUUUAGCAAUGGCCUGUAUGUUUUUUAAAAACAUUUCAAGAACCUGUUUUUACAGGAAUCAUUUAGGUAAAUCAAAAGAUUUCCUUAUUUCUGUUAAAUGAAUAUUGUUUUUUUUUUUUCUAUUGAUUUAUGUUUGUUUAUUUUUUUUUUCUGUAAUUUAAGAAGGUUAAGAGUUUAAGAGUAGCUUUCAGCUAAUCUUCACCUUCAAAGGCAAAACUAUGUAAAACUAUGUAUUUGCUAAAUAAAGGCGCUUUAUUAUUAUUAUUAUUAUAUAGUUGCCUGGUUCACAAGCUUCUUGUCAGGCCGGACUCAGCAGGUUAGAUUGGGUAGUGUUAGAUCCAGCAAUAUCAAUGUAUGUUCUGGUGUACCUCAGGGUGGACACUGCUCACCAUUGCUCUUUAACAUGUUCAUUAAUGAUAUGGCUACAUGUUUUGAAAAUAGUGCCUUUUUAUUGUUUGCAGAUGACCUGAAAUUUUAUAGAGUAAUCCAGACUCCCAAAGACCAAAUUUUGUUACAGAAUGACCUGAAUAGGCUAAAUGAUUGGUGUGUCAACAAUAUCUUAUUCUUAAACAUAAAGAGAUAUUAGUUUUCACAAAAGAUGUAAGAAAGUUGUAACAUCAUACAAUAUAGAGGGAAGCCCUGUUCAGUAUUCUGAUACAAUUAAGGAUCUUGGCAUUUAUUUUGACGAUCAUUUAAAUUUUAAUAUACACAUGAAUAAUAUAGUGGUUAGAUCCUCCAGGCUUCUGGGCUUUGUUCUGCGUAACUGUAGAGAGCUAUCAGUCGAGACCUGUAAGAGAGUAUAAAUGUCUUUGGUGGUUUCUUUAUUGGAGUAUAGCUCAAUGAUAUGGUCCCACUAUUACAUGAACAGCUGUGUGGCCCUUGAAAGGAUUUAGAAUAAGUUUUUGAGAUAUUGUCUAUUUAAAUUAAAUUUGGAAAUACCGAACGAUCAUGUUUAUGAUGAUGCACGGGAAGUGCUGGCUAUGACAACAUUGAGAGAAAGACGUAUUCGUGGUGAUUUAACCUUCUUAAUGGUCAGAUUGUAUGCCCCGACCUUCUCAACAGAAUUAGCUUCAGUGUCCUCUCAAGACUCUUGAGACGAAACCGACUAUUUGCUUUGCCUUUUCACAGUACCAACUAUGCCACUCACUCCCCUAUCAAAAGAACCUUAAAAUAUUAUCGACCAUGAGGAUAUUGAAGUUGUGGGCAUUGGCUUGUCUGUUUUAGGAAUCAAAUUAGAGAGAUUGUGUAAACUCUUCUGUUGAUUUUAUGUUGGUUUGCCUGUAAAAACAUAUUUGAAUUUUAGCUAUUUUAAGUUAUGGUUAGGUGUAACUCUUGAACUUUGUAAUAUUGUUUUUUUUGUAAUGGGGUUGAUCCCGUCUAUUGAAUAAAUAAAUAUAUAGCCUUAUACCCAUAAGUAUAUCUGAGGUGUUUAGGAGAUACAUGAUAACUCCAAAAAUACGUUUUUUAGUCUAAUAUUCCUUUUAUAUAAUCAUAAUCAUAAUCAUAAUUUUUAUUGAUGCCAGUAAUAUAAAUUUUACACAAAUUUUACAUAUGAAAUAUGAAAGGACUAUUCUGGAAAGUUGAGUUUUUUUAUUUAAAAUAAUUUUCAAAAUGUAAUUUUUUUAUGUCUUAAAGAUAAGCCAUGAUGUUUGUAGACAAUCCUUCGACAACAGAAAACGAAACAAAUCAGUCCAUUACAGAAAUCAAUAAUUCAAUAAGUUUAAAUAAAUAAUUCUUCUCAACCCUAGCCGUCUAAUCAGUAAGUGGUUCAAACACAAUCCAGAUAGAGUUGUCACCCAAUUUCAAAUUGGUUAUUUAUUUAACGAAGCCUAUUGCAAAGCCACAGCAGUGCAAAAUGCUAUCAAUGGAUUUGCAAAAAAUUGGAAUGGUUCCAUUCAACCCGGACAGUUUCCAGGACUAUAUCUAUUCAAAGUCAAUCUGAGUCUGACACAUACAGCCCAGCAGAGGACAAAGUAUGCUUGCAGUCACUCCAUUUAACCUAAACCCCUCUCCAGUAAGUCUAUUCAGU